ACCCACACCACGCUCCGCCUUUCCCACUCUCCUUCCUUCGCUUCGUUGCGAGCCCAGAUCGAUGGCGCAGCCGCAUCCGUCCUCCUCGUCCUCCGCGCAGCCGCCCUCCUCGCCGUGGGUCAUCCUAGGCAGCAUCCCGCGCGUCUCCGCACUGGCGGACGCAGGAGACGUCUCCGUCGAGCUGGCGGCGCUGCCGCGCGUCUCGAUCCUCACCGUCCCCCCGCGCGUCUUCCCGGACCCCCCUACGCCCCGCAACUUCCCCUUCGUCCUCGCCGCCGACCCCUCCGGCCUUCUCCUCCUCCAGGCCAACCUGCACUGCGCCCCGACCCGUGAGGUCAUCCGUCGCCCCGGCCUCCAGGAACUCUCCUGGAAAUUCGCUACUUCUCGCUACUUCGUGCUCGACGCCACCACCGGCUCGGCGUUCCACCUCCCCUACCCUGAGGCCACCAUCAUGCACCAGGCCCUCCUCGGCCUUCUCGUCUCCCCCAGGGGAGGCGGCCACUACAUGGUCGCGGAGCUCCAGCCCAUCAUCGGCUUGGACGAAGCCACGCUCCUUUGCUUCUCCACAGAGGUUGGGGAGUGGAUCGAGAAGACCGUCCAUUACCCGCUCCCGCCACGCCCGCUGGCUCCCAUCUGCGUGGUUUCGCACCACGGGAGGCUCUGGUGGGUGGACCUCUCAUGGGGCGUCAUCACCUGCGACCCCUUCGCCGACGAGCCGGUCCUGGGCUUCGUUCCGUUCCCGCCGGGAAGGGUCCUGGAGUGCAGGGAAGGUUGGGGUGUCGCCGACAAGUUCCGUUACGUGGGGGUGAGCGGCGGCAAGCUGCGUUUCGUCGACAUGUACAUGGGCAAGCGUGCUGGUGUUGGUGGCAGCGGCACGCACACUCCCACUCCCACGGUAAGCGUGUGGACGCUGGGCGAUCCAGACUCCAGGGAGUGGACGCUGGAGCAGGAGGUGGGCUUUACAGAGAUCUGGGCCGAUGAGAGCUACAAGGCGGCCGGGCUGCCGGAGAAGGUCCCCAUCGUCGCGCUCAUUCACCCCAAGAACCCCGAUGUGGUCUACUUCUUCCUCGAGGAGCACCUCUUUGGUGUUGACAUGCGUGCUCGCAAGGUGGUGGAGUGCCAGGUGUAUGGUCUUGUUGCGCCUCCGAGCAUCCGCCUGGCCAGCCGCUUCGUUCGGGCUUGGGAGCUGCCACGGGCGCUCUCCUCCUCAGGCGAGUGGUCUAAUGGCAUCGACUUGGCUGAGAGCGCUAAUGCACGCCCAUACCAGCCCACGCCAGGGGACUACCACUUGGUGGGGGACACCAGGCAGACAUUCAUAGGUUGAAUUGGAGGAACAUGAAGCAGCUAGCAGUCUCCUAUCUAGCCUAGGAAAUGGCGGACGAUGAGUUAACUGAUAUGAUGUAUGACAUGGAGUUUGGAGAAGUGAUGAAAGACCGGAUAGAAGAUUGGUCAGAUGAUGAAAAUUCAGAUCGUGGAGAUAGGUCAGAGAAUGGGAACGUAUUGGAAGAUCUUAAUAUGGAUGAACAUGAUGAUGGUCAGGAAAACAAUGAGCAUGAUGAUGGUGAGGAAAACAAGUCGGAGAUCUCGAAUGAGGAUUACAUUAGUCAGCUCAUUUCCGAAUGUCAUAAUGCGUACGACUAUUACGGUGAAUCCGACGCGGAGACAGGCCUUGAUGUCGAAUCAUUAGCUGCACCUGAUUCUGGGGAGUCGCAAUCGUCGGUCAUCAUGAGUGAGGUAUGUAUGUAAUGAAUGUUGUAUGGAAGUAAUGUUAUACCAUAGAAAACUGUUUUCAUGGCUAUGUUAUGAUUGUGUAG
This is an RNA transcript of Triticum aestivum (bread wheat), 1814 nucleotides long. RefSeq lists it as uncharacterized. The record is from RefSeq and is a predicted model, not a curated record. Lineage: Eukaryota; Viridiplantae; Streptophyta; Magnoliopsida; Poales; Poaceae. The transcript is spliced from 5 exons.